Molecule: non-coding RNA, 37 nt
Filed under: Trypanosoma brucei brucei
Lineage: Eukaryota; Euglenozoa; Kinetoplastea; Trypanosomatida; Trypanosomatidae
Source: RNAcentral
CCGAAGAGGGCAGUGAUCCCUCGAAGCUUGUGUAUAU